CAGCAGUUCAGCAGUGCAGGGCUGCAGGCUGACCCUCCCUCCCCGCGCACACAGGACUGCCUGCCGGCAGUGAGACUAAACAUCCUUCUGGCUCCUGGAUACUAGACAAGCAGCCCAGCCAUUUACAUUUCUGUUUGACUUGAGUCUUGAAUGUCCAGAACCUCCUGCUCUUCAUUCAUUCCUUUGUCACUCUCUGAGCCUCCUUAACUCUCACUGCCUCAUUCACUCCCUCAUUUACUCCUGCGUUUGCUUACUCACUCCUUCAGUCACUCUUCAACAAGCAUUUAUGGAGCAGCUACUAUAUACUUUCAGUAGACUAGAUGUGGAAUCUAUCAAGGAGAAUAACAAAGUUGCAGGUCUUAAAAACUUACAGUUCUUUUAGUGGACACUGAAGUGUUGGAAAUGACAGCUGCAAACUCUCCUUACCUCCAGAGUGCUGGACUUCUAACUCAUGGUUCCACAGGGACAGACCACCCACGAGGAGAAAGGAUGUGUUUUAUCACAUUCCUCCCAGCCACACCCCUUUGGGAGGAACAGUUCGUGCAGGAAAAUGGGGGACUAUUUGGACGUUGACAAGAUAAAGCUGCAUGAUCCUCAGGGAGAUGGAGAUGAAGGUGGACUCUGAAAACAGGAGAAGCUCAUCUUGAUCCUCAGGAGGCAGCCAGAUUCUUUCCAGAGGAAGGACUACAUCCUCCAGAACACAAAGAAACUUUAGAAGGAAACAGGUGGACUCCAGGAUCUUUUCUGAGAAGUGUCUCUAAGCUUUGCAGGUUCCCACCAGCACCCCGCACUCCCAGGACCCCGGGCAUCCCUGACUGCCGGAGAACUGACCGCAUAAAGGCUCAUCACUUUUUUUUCACAAGAACCCCAGGAAGCAAGUCCGUCCUGGAUCCUCGUGGUACACGUGUGGAGCUGAGGCUUACAAGGCCCAAGCACAUGCUGAGAUACAAUUUGAGAAGAAUUAAAUGGAGGCCAUUUCUUAUAUUUUUAUUAAAAACAAAGUAAACCUA
Long non-coding RNA from Equus caballus (horse), 1010 nucleotides. RefSeq lists it as uncharacterized. Lineage: Eukaryota; Metazoa; Chordata; Mammalia; Perissodactyla; Equidae. The record is from RefSeq and is a predicted model, not a curated record.